Molecule: ribosomal RNA, 464 nt
Filed under: uncultured bacterium
Lineage: Bacteria
Description: partial 16S ribosomal RNA
Rfam family: Bacterial small subunit ribosomal RNA
Source: RNAcentral
GACGAACGCUGGCGGCGUGCUUAACACAUGCAAGUCGAACGGAAAGGCCCUGCUUGCAGGGUACUCGAGUGGCGAACGGGUGAGUAACACGUGGGUGAUCUGCCCUGCACUUCGGGAUAAGCCUGGGAAACUGGGUCUAAUACCGGAUAGGAGCCAUUUUUAGUGUGAUGGUUGGAAAGUUUUUUCGGUGUAGGAUGAGCUCGCGGCCUAUCAGCUUGUUGGUGGGGUAAUGGCCUACCAAGGCGGCGACGGGUAGCCGGCCUGAGAGGGUGGACGGCCACAUUGGACUGAGAUACGGCCCAGACUCCUACGGGAGGCAGCAGUGGGGAAUAUUGCACAAUGGGCGCAAGCCUGAUGCAGCGACGCCGCGUGGGGGAUGACGGCCUUCGGGUUGUAAACUCCUUUCGCUAGGGACGAAGCUUUUUGUGACGGUACCUAGAGAAGAAGCACCGGCUAACUACGUG